CACGGCUGUUGGCGGAGCAGCAGAGGCCUUUUCUGUCUUCGUUCGAGUCAGAGCCAAAGCUGUGAUUGGUUGGGUGGGUGUGGGAUGAGUGAAGGGAGCAAUUUUGCACGCUAAAAAAUUUCUCACGAGCGUUGGAGCAUUUUCAAGGAUCAUUCCCCUUUUGGGAAAGCGACUCAACCCCUAAGCCGAGACCGAGGUUUUGUACCCAGAGGUCUACAUGCGGGUGGGCGUGGAACUGACCCCUACCAAGAAGGGGAGGGGGUCAGUCCCGCCAAGUGCCUUCUCCGUUUGCUCCCGUCCCAACGAGGCUUGGACACCUCAGUGUCUCCGCCUGAGUCCUUGUUGCCUCUCGCUCCCUCGGUACUCCUGAUUCUGAAUCAGAAGUCAAGCUGGGAGAUUCUCCGGAUACACUUGCCUGGGCUGACCACCGGUGAUGAUUCCUUUGGUCUUGGGACUUUCUAUUCCGUCUUCACUGGGCUGCACACUGCAAGUCACAAGAGCCAGGACACCUACUCACCUAAUAAGUGGUAAUUAGCUGGUAAUUUCUUUUUCCUGAAGGGAAAUUUAGGAAAAGGCUGUGGAAAUGUAAAUCCUGUUCUCUGAAAUAUUUUUCCUCCUCUGUUUAAUCUUCCUCUAUAAUUUCAAAAAUAUAGCUGAUACAUCACUGUAUUGGCCAAAAUAUAAAACUUAUUUGGAAACCGAAUCGGUCAUUUUACACAAGGAUAAAGAAACAAAAUCCCACUUUCAUCACAUUUCUGAUUUUGAGUUUAAUUCCUCACUGCCAAAUGGAAAUAGUUACAAUAACGUUACAAAGUGCCUCUUAACAGUAACAUAGAAUACUACUUCCUUGUAUAAAGGCUCUUAAAUUCCCAGUGGAUAUCUAAGCAAGACAAUCGCCAAAAAAAAAAAAAAAAAAAAAAAGGGUGAGGGUUUGUUUGGUUUGAUUUGGUUUGGUUUUCCCACGUCGAAUAGUCACAUUCAUUGUAACCCUGAAUUAGGCAUGUGGGGGUAAAGGAAGAUUUCAGUAUUGUCUUUAUUGGAAUAAGAAGAUUGAAAUAUCUAAUCCCGUUUACGUAAAAGGUGUCUUGGUAUAUUUUAACUAACUUUGCGAAACGAAUCGCAAUGACUCAAACCAGAGCGAAAAAAGGGAAGUGAUUUCCCUUAAAACCAGGUGUUGAGCGCCUUGAUGACCCAAUACGGGGUGCGCGCGCGCAGAGUGACCAGACCCCUCUCCACGCAGCUCUGACAGAGCUCUCCAAUUCGGCAAGAGCAUCCGCAGCAGUAAUACCACCAGUACACCGUU
RNAcentral lists this long non-coding RNA (1303 nucleotides) under Sus scrofa (pig). Its description in RNAcentral is "lncRNA (ENSSSCG00060037305.1)". The record is from RNAcentral. Lineage: Eukaryota; Metazoa; Chordata; Mammalia; Artiodactyla; Suidae.